RNAcentral lists this ribosomal RNA (663 nucleotides) under uncultured Bacteroidota bacterium. RNAcentral describes it as "bacterial SSU rRNA". It matches the Rfam family "Bacterial small subunit ribosomal RNA", at positions 1 to 658 of the family's 1533-position model. Lineage: Bacteria; Pseudomonadati; Bacteroidota. The record is from RNAcentral.
GGAUCCAGACUUUGAUCAUGGCUCAGGAUGAACGCUAGCGGCAGGCUUAACACAUGCAAGUCGAGGGGCAGCGCGGGGCGGCAACGUCCUGGCGGCGACCGGCGGAAGGGUGCGUAACGCGUGAGCGACAUGCCCGUUGCCCGGGGACAACCGGUGGAAACGCCGACUAAUCCCCGAUGGGACGGAGGCCCUCAUGGGUCUCUGUUGAAAGUUACGGCGGCGACGGAUUGGCUCGCGUCCGAUUAGCUUGUUGGCGGGGUAACGGCCCACCAAGGCUACGAUCGGUAGGGGUUCUGAGAGGAAGGUCCCCCACAAUGGAACUGAGACACGGUCCAUACUCCUACGGGAGGCAGCAGUGAGGAAUAUUGGUCAAUGGGCGGAAGCCUGAACCAGCCAUGCCGCGUGCGGGAAGGAGGCCCUAUGGGCUGUGAACCGCUUUUGCCUGGGGGCAAUAAGGGCGUCGUGCACGUCCGAUGAGAGUACCAGGCGAAUAAGCAUCGGCUAACUCCGUGCCAGCAGCCGCGGUAAUACGGGGGAUGCGAGCGUUAUCCGGAUUCAUUGGGUUUAAAGGGUGCGUAGGCUGUGCGUCAAGUCAGGGGUGAAAUUCCGGGGCUCAACUCCGGGGCUGCCCUUGAUACUGUCGCGCUGGAGUGCGGAUGCCGC